GGGUAUCUGGCUCCUCGGGGAUUAAUUAAACACAAACAGCGCUUUAAUAAUAACGGCUCAGGCUGCUAUCGCAACGGGGAAAGCAGCGAGGGAAGGCAGGCUGCUCACGGGGGAGGGGGGUGGCGUGUCCUCUCCUGGGGUGCAGGAAGGAGAGAGAGAAGGCCCUGGUGUGAAGGAGGGGAAGGCCGUCACGCAGGCAGGAAUAGCUGCUCCUUCAGUCAAAACUCGAUCGUAUCAGUGACCUCUACCAUACUUCAAAAAACCCACAGUGAAAUAGGAGCUUUUUAAGAAGCGCCAAUAUCUCAGUGUCUACGCUGAUACUUGGAACAACUCCUUGCUGUGUCUUUUGGAUUCAGACAAUAUCAGCCAGCACUAGGAUUGCCAGCUGACAUGAACAGAAAAGUGGGACUUUUGCCUCUUUCUGUAGUUAGCGAGUCAAAGAACUCAAAAUUGUGAGUCUCGUGGCCUUGCCAGGGGGUCUGUUCAGCCUUGCACAAACAGAGCUUCACCAAGAGCAAAAUGAAAACUGCCCAUGCUGUAGUGGUGGGUUUCUCCUGACAUACACAUUCUCCCAAGGGCAGGUGCAUGCUUCCUGUCUGGGGCCGUCUCUGUGCACCUUCAAAAUAUUUCCCGUACUCGGAGCAUUGGAAAGAUGGAUAGCGGGGUCUGCUGCAUACCUGGGAUCAUUCUUCUCGUCCUGUUUGGAUUUCCUCAGUUGUCCAUCCCUGCGAGCUCUGUUUCCAACUUUCUCCACUUCCUGCCUGGUUGCCUGUCACUCCCCUCUUCACAGAGUAAAAUUGCUGAAUGUUUUCAUAAGCGGAGGAGCAAGAUCCCUGUCAGAGAGAGAGCUCCGGAUGUGGAAGCGGCACAGCACACAUAGAGAGACUCAAGAAAACAUUUCAAGACUGCUGGUGGUUGCAAUAUCCCAGUGCAAGGCACCCCGAUAAACUGCUGUGCAAAAAACGUUCCAUUGCAGGGCACUGACAGGUCGGUGCGGUGACAUUAGGAAGAUGACAGCAAUGCUUGAACGAUGAUUCAACGUGAAAGCCUCAGUUCAUGGCUUAAAGUUUCGUACCCUCCCUGGUGUGGAUCGUGACUCUACUAAUGAUUAAUCGGACAUUUCUUCUCUUGUGGCCGAUGGCCAAGAUACUCAGUUUAUAAUGGAAUUACACGUUUAGAUAUAAAGUUACAGCUCCAUUUCAUGCGACUUUUUGCUUUGAAUUUGUGACUUGCCACAUGUG
Long non-coding RNA from Chroicocephalus ridibundus (black-headed gull), 1241 nucleotides. RefSeq lists it as uncharacterized. The transcript is spliced from 5 exons. The record is from RefSeq and is a predicted model, not a curated record. Lineage: Eukaryota; Metazoa; Chordata; Aves; Charadriiformes; Laridae.